GUACGAACCGCGUGGCCGGCGUGCCUAAGUACAUGCAAGUCGAGCGGAGCGGGAACCAAACGAGAUUUACUUCGGUAAUGACGUUGGGAAAGCGAGCGGCGGAUGGGUGAGUAACACGUGGGGAACCUGCCCCUAAGUCUGGGAUACCACUUGGAAACAGGUGCUAAUACCGGAUAAUAAAGCAGAUCGCAUGAUCAGCUUUUGAAAGGCGGCGUAAGCUGUCGCUAAGGGAUGGCCCCGCGGUGCAUUAGCUAGUUGGUAAGGUAACGGCUUACCAAGGCGACGAUGCAUAGCCGAGUUGAGAGACUGAUCGGCCACAUUGGGACUGAGACACGGCCCAA
This 341-nucleotide ribosomal RNA is filed under the name uncultured bacterium. RNAcentral's name for it is "bacterial SSU rRNA". It matches the Rfam family "Bacterial small subunit ribosomal RNA", at positions 34 to 334 of the family's 1533-position model. The record is from RNAcentral.